This 492-nucleotide long non-coding RNA is filed under the name Parus major (Great Tit). RNAcentral's name for it is "lncRNA (ENSPMJG00000001201.1)". The record is from RNAcentral. Lineage: Eukaryota; Metazoa; Chordata; Aves; Passeriformes; Paridae.
AUGGUUCUUUCCUUUCGCAUAUGCCAUGAUAUUAUCUUUAUAGCUUGCUGGACAUCUUUUCCGACCAAACAGCUUUUUUGGUUCACUUCUUAUGUAUUCUCAGAAGCUGUGAAGAUUGAAGAUAUGGAGGAUGAUAUUCUAUCAAGAAUAGAAAUUUAGAAUCAUGGAAUUAAAGUCUGAGUAGUAUGCCAGUUUUCAUGGAAGUUCAUCAAGGAAUGAUGAACAUUGGAGGGACCUCACACUGGAUCAGGGAAGGAGUGUGAGGAAUUCCCCCGAGGAGGAAGGAGCGGCAAAGACAACUUGUGAUGAACUCACCACAGUCCCAUCUCCUGUCCCACCUAACUACUUGGGGGGAGGAGAAAGAGAUUUGGGGUUAAAGUUAAGCCCAGGAAAAGGGGGUGCUUAGGUGGAAAGUGUUUAAAAAUUUGUUUUUCUUUCUCGUUAUUCUGUUCUGAUUUGUUUGGUAAUAAAUUAAACUAAUUAAUUUACCCA